Molecule: ribosomal RNA, 505 nt
Filed under: uncultured bacterium
Lineage: Bacteria
Description: partial 16S ribosomal RNA
Rfam family: Bacterial small subunit ribosomal RNA
Source: RNAcentral
GACGAACGCUGGCGGCGUGCCUAAUACAUGCAAGUAGAACGCACAGUUUAUACCGUAGCUUGCUACACCAUAGACUGUGAGUUGCGAACGGGUGAGUAACGCGUAGGUAACCUGCCUGGUAGCGGGGGAUAACUAUUGGAAACGAUAGCUAAUACCGCAUAAUAUUAAUUAUUGCAUGAUAAUUAAUUGAAAGGUGCAAUUGCACCACUACCAGAUGGACCUGCGUUGUAUUAGCUAGUAGGUGAGGUAACGGCUCACCUAGGCGACGAUACAUAGCCGACCUGAGAGGGUGAUCGGCCCCACUGGGACUGAGACACGGCCCAGACUCCUACGGGAGGCAGCAGUAGGGAAUCUUCGGCAAUGGACGAAAGUCUGACCGAGCAACGCCGCGUGAGUGACGAAGGUUUUCGGAUCGUAAAGCUCUGUUGUAAGAGAAGAACGGGUGUGAGAGUGGAAAGUUCACACUGUGACGGUAUCUUACCAGAAAGGGACGGCUAACUACGUG